UACAGAGGGUGCAAGCGUUAAUCGGAAUUACUGGGCGUAAAGCGUGCGUAGACGGUUACAUAAGUCGGGUGUGAAAGCCCCGGGCUCAACCUGGGAAUUGCAUUCGAGACUGCGUAGCUAGGGUGCGGAAGAGGGAAGCGGAAUUUCCGGUGUAGCGGUGAAAUGCGUAGAUAUCGGGAGGAACACCUGAGGCGAAGGCGGGCUACUGGGCCGAUACUGACGCUGAGGCGCGAAAGCCAGGGGAGCAAACGGG
Molecule: ribosomal RNA, 253 nt
Filed under: uncultured bacterium
Lineage: Bacteria
Description: partial 16S ribosomal RNA
Rfam family: Bacterial small subunit ribosomal RNA
Source: RNAcentral